RNAcentral lists this ribosomal RNA (253 nucleotides) under uncultured bacterium. RNAcentral describes it as "partial 16S ribosomal RNA". It matches the Rfam family "Bacterial small subunit ribosomal RNA", at positions 524 to 776 of the family's 1533-position model. The record is from RNAcentral.
UACGGAGGGAGCUAGCGUUGUUCGGAAUUACUGGGCGUAAAGCGCGCGUAGGCGGCUUUGUAAGUUAGAGGUGAAAGCCCGGGGCUCAGCCCCGGAACUGCCUUUAAGACUGCAUCGCUUGAAUCCGGGAGAGGUGAGUGGAAUUCCGAGUGUAGAGGUGAAAUUCGUAGAUAUUCGGAAGAACACCAGUGGCGAAGGCGGCUCACUGGACCGGCAUUGACGCUGAGGUGCGAAAGCGUGGGGAGCGAACAGG